CCAGACUCCUACGGGAGGCAGCAGUGGGGAAUAUUGGGCAAUGGGCGCAAGCCUGACCCAGCAACGCCGCGUGAAGGAAGAAGGCUUUCGGGUUGUAAACUUCUUUUAUGAGGGACGAAAGAAAUGACGGUACCUCAUGAAUAAGCCACGGCUAACUACGUGCCAGCAGCCGCGGUAAUACGUAGGAAGCAAGCGUUGUCCGGAAUUACUGGGCGUAAAGGGCGCGUAGGUGGGCGCUUAAGUCAGGUGUGAAAACUCCGGGCUCAACUUGGAGACUGCACUUGAAACUGGGUGUCUUGAGGGCAGGAGAGGAAAGUGGAAUUCCUAGUGUAGCGGUGAAAUGCGUAGAUAUCAGGAGGAACACCGGUGGCGAAGGCGGCCUGCUGGACUGCAACUGACGUUGAGGCCCGAAAGCGUGGGGAGCAAACAGGAUUAGAUACCCCUGUA
Molecule: ribosomal RNA, 447 nt
Filed under: uncultured bacterium
Lineage: Bacteria
Description: bacterial SSU rRNA
Rfam family: Bacterial small subunit ribosomal RNA
Source: RNAcentral